RNAcentral lists this ribosomal RNA (253 nucleotides) under uncultured bacterium. RNAcentral describes it as "partial 16S ribosomal RNA". It matches the Rfam family "Bacterial small subunit ribosomal RNA", at positions 524 to 776 of the family's 1533-position model. The record is from RNAcentral.
UACGUAGGGUGCAAGCGUUGUCCGGAAUUAUUGGGCGUAAAGAGCUCGUAGGCGGUUCGUCGCGUCGGCUGUGAAAUCCCGAGGCUCAACCUCGGGUCUGCAGUCGAUACGGGCGGACUGGAGUUCGGCAGGGGAGACUGGAAUUCCUGGUGUAGCGGUGAAAUGCGCAGAUAUCAGGAGGAACACCGGUGGCGAAGGCGGGUCUCUGGGCUGACACUGACGCUCAUGCACGAAAGCGUGGGGAGCAAACAGG